Nematostella vectensis (starlet sea anemone) is the source of this 976-nucleotide long non-coding RNA. RefSeq lists it as uncharacterized. The transcript is spliced from 2 exons. NCBI's taxonomy places the organism in Eukaryota, Metazoa, Cnidaria, Anthozoa, Actiniaria, Edwardsiidae. The record is from RefSeq and is a predicted model, not a curated record.
AAUGUAUACUAAUAACCUUCUAGGUUAUCACUGAACUGAUUUGUUGUGUUGCGCAGUCUUACAUGUUUGGCUCCCGGGACUUUUUCUGUUGACUAGAGCAGCUUUCAGCUGGGUCAAAGAACGGAAUUGUCAGCUUUGAUGACAUAAGAUGUACACCUCUUCGAGGUUUUGUUUUUUAGUUUUGUUAAAUCACUGAGCUGAUUUGUUGUGUUGCGCAGAAACGAUAACAAUUAUACAAAGUUCUUGAGUUCAUUUAUUCAUUUGUUGCAAAGACCAGAUGACUACAUAACAAAAAUGGUGGUAAUAAAAAACACCUAAGCACUUAUCGCUUUUAAAUAAAUACCGAUAAGUAUCCAUAUAAGGCCUCCCGUUCUCUACAUGGAUUGCAAGUAAUCUGAAUUGCCGAGACUAGAAAUGUGACGGCAAAUACUUAUGCGUGACAAGAGUUUUCUCAUGCGAAUCAUAACAACACAAGGGCUCUCUAUUGCUUAUCUUUCGCCACACAUGCUUUCUUAUGUCUGUCGUGUUUUCGGGGUUUUCGUGCCGGAAAAACUAUCAAAGCCUACAAGUAGGCUAUAAUAAACACAUAGAAAAAGUGAAGCGACGAAAACAUAACACCGGAAGUCUUAACUAAAAAUAGGCAAGGUCCUGGUGCAAUAAUCGAGCAUAAAUUAUUAACCUGAAACAAGUCUUAACUGAACACUUCACGGAAUCAGAGGGACAAUACUUGCAUUUAAUGCUGAUACUUACUAGGAUAUUCAUGCAACAUGUCAUGCCGAGGGUUUAAAGAAUCCCGUCUAAUAACUUGAGCGACUACACCAAGACCAACGCGUCGAAUCGAAAAUGCACCGUUGUGUGCAUAUUGUUAUACAAUGUAUAUUAUGUACAACCCUAUUUUAGUAAUAUUGAACAAUCGAAGAUAUAAUACUUACAAUACGCUGGGGCGCAGUUAGAAAUAAAAAUCGAUUAAAACGUG